UACGGGAGGCAGCAGUGGGGAAUAUUGCACAAUGGGCGCAAGCCUGAUGCAGCCAUGCCGCGUGUAUGAAAAAGGCCUUCGGGUUGUAAAGUACUUUCAGUCGUGAGGAAGGUGUUAAGGUUAAUAACCUUAGCAAUUGACGUUAGCGACAGAAGAAGCACCGGCUAACUCCGUGCCAGCAGCCGCGGUAAUACGGAGGGUGCGAGCGUUAAUCGGAAUUACUGGGCGUAAAGGGCACGCAGGCGGUUAAUUAAGUUGGAUGUGAAAUCCCCGGGCUUAACCUGGGAAUGGCAUUCAAGACUGGUUAGCUAGAGUCUUGUAGAGGGGGUAGAAUUCCAUGUGUAGCGGUGAAAUGCGUAGAGAUGUGGAGGAAUACCGGUGGCGAAGGCGGCCCCGUGGACAAAGACUGACGCUCAUGUGCGAAAGCGUGGGGAGCAAACAGGGAUUAGAUACC
This 454-nucleotide ribosomal RNA is filed under the name uncultured bacterium. RNAcentral describes it as "bacterial SSU rRNA". It matches the Rfam family "Bacterial small subunit ribosomal RNA", at positions 340 to 786 of the family's 1533-position model. The record is from RNAcentral.